This 712-nucleotide ribosomal RNA is filed under the name uncultured bacterium. Its description in RNAcentral is "bacterial SSU rRNA". It matches the Rfam family "Bacterial small subunit ribosomal RNA", at positions 63 to 754 of the family's 1533-position model. The record is from RNAcentral.
CGAGCGGCAGCGACUUAACUGAACCUUCGGGGAACGUUAAGGGCGGCGAGCGGCGGACGGGUGAGUAAUGCCUGGGAAUAUGCCCUGAUGUGGGGGAUAACUAUUGGAAACGAUAGCUAAUACCGCAUAAUCUCUUCGGAGCAAAGAGGGGGACCUUCGGGCCUCUCGCGUCAGGAUUAGCCCAGGUGGGAUUAGCUUGUUGGUGAGGUAAUGGCUCACCAAGGCAACGAUCCCUAGCUGGUCUGAGAGGAUGAUCAGCCACACUGGAACUGAGACACGGUCCAGGCUCCUACGGGAGGCAGCAGUGGGGAAUAUUGCACAAUGGGGGAAACCCUGAUGCAGCCAUGCCGCGUGUAUGAAGAAGGCCUUCGGGUUGUAAAGUACUUUCAGUAGGGAGGAAGGCAGUGUCGUUAAUAGCGGCAUUGUUUGACGUUACCUACAGAAGAAGCACCGGCUAACUCCGUGCCAGCAGCCGCGGUAAUACGGAGGGUGCGAGCGUUAAUCGGAAUUACUGGGCGUAAAGCGCAUGCAGGUGGUCUGUUAAGCAAGAUGUGAAAGCCCGGGGCCCAACCUCGGAACAGCAUUUUGAACUGGCAGACUAGAGUACUGUAGAGGGGGGUAGAAUUUCAGGUGUAGCGGUGAAAUGCGUAGAGAUCUGAAGGAAUACCGGUGGCGAAGGCGGCCCCCUGGACAGAUACUGACACUCAGAUGC